This is a long non-coding RNA of Gallus gallus (chicken), 1352 nucleotides long. NCBI's taxonomy places the organism in Eukaryota, Metazoa, Chordata, Aves, Galliformes, Phasianidae. The record is from Ensembl.
GGUGGCAGAAACAGGCUGAGCGGCAAAGGGAGGGGAACAAAAAGCCCCGCGAUGAUUUCCCUCCCGGGGCUGAUUUCCCAUGGUGUGAAAGUGGCGCGGCUACAUGAGCCGGGCUGUGGCAGCUCCCGGGUUAUUGUGCAGCCAUCCCCGCCGGCCGUACGAGUGAGAGGAGGCACAGCGUGACCUCAGCACAGAGCACGUUUAAUGAAGCUCGGAGGAUCGGGCUGGUUUUCUCCGACGCAUCCUCGUCCCCGGUGCUGUUAGGGUUCACAUCCUCCCAGAUGGGAGCUGGGUGUGAUCCCCUUCAGCCCUCUGCUGCCAGACUGGUGGCUGAUGGACGCCAGAGGCCCUGGCAGGGGGCAACACAUGGCCAAGGGCGGCCAACGAAUGCCCCAGGGAAGGACUCGUCGUCUCACUUUGUGAUAUCUGCAUUGGCGUGAUGUGCUGCGGCAGACUGUGCGCUCGUCGGGAUGCUUUUCCCAAGGGGGAGCUUGCUCUUCCUUUUGGAAACCGUGUGCCCAUCACACCUCCUCAUCCAGGGGCGCCCCAGGAGGAUGCGGAUGGCUCAAAGACCUGGGAACUAUGACAGAGGCUGGGGAGCUCCACGGCGUACGGGCACGGUGGUGGCAGGUUGAUGGUUGGACUGGACAAUCCUAGCAGUCUUUUUCAACCCUAAAGAUUCUAUGAGCUGGGAGGAUUUCGCAGUGGUGUCUGGGCUGAGGAAAUGUUUUUGUCUCAACCCGUGCUGGCUGGAGGGACAGGGUGCAAAGAGGGACGAGGCUGUGUGCUUGGCCCGCCCUCUCCGCAAGUUUGCCCCCACUCCUGCACAGCCCCGCUGCACAGCCUGGCCCAGGAUCCUGAGAAAAUCGCUAAGCUCCGAGAAAGUCAUUAGAGCACAGCCCCGCCAGAUAGGAGAAGCCUCCAGGUCAUGCUCUGGAACCACGGCGACACGCAACCCACGUGGCCGGGAAACGUUUCUUUUUGCUUCAAGCCUUUUUGUUUAAACCUUGUUCUCGUCCAUCCCAAGGACUCUCGUCCUUGAAAACCCAAUAGCAACACACUGCCCCGCAUCCCUAUGGAUUCAGGAUUCUACCGCUAGGACGUGGUGCGUUAACGAAGCAGGGGCUCGGUAACAGGGUUGAACAAAGCAUUUGUCAAGGUCUCCUGUCACCACCCUGCUCUCCCCUCCCUGCAGCAGCAUUGCGGAGAGCAGCGCAGCUCGCUGCAAGGCAGAGCUGCUGUCAACUCGUUAACACUUUCUUUCUCUUUGCGAAAGGCACCGCUGUGGAAAUGGAUGGUAAAGAUCUUAUCGUGCUUUGGCUGCUCUCAGGUGCCUCUUACACGCACCUUUG